RNAcentral lists this unclassified non-coding RNA (344 nucleotides) under Hevea brasiliensis (rubber tree). Lineage: Eukaryota; Viridiplantae; Streptophyta; Magnoliopsida; Malpighiales; Euphorbiaceae. The record is from RNAcentral.
ACAGAACGGAGCUUGUUUCAUUAGCAAGUAAAUUCCCAAAGUUAUUCUCCGACGUAACGCGAUCUACUAAUUAAUCUGCUGUUGGUAACUAAUCCACUCCCCUCAAAAUCGACUUCAUUUUUCUUCAAUUUAUCAAAAGCAAACCUGGCUUCAGCUAUCUGGAAACGCCUAUUCCCACCGCAAACCCGAAGACCCGCCCCAGUCAUCCCCGAUAUCAGGAUAAAUCGCCGCUUUAAUCCCGGAAUGGAUGUUAACGUAUUCAAAUUAUGCUCUGGUCUCAAGGUUCUCGGCUACUUGAUGAUCCUUCUCGUCGCCGGCAUUAUCACCGUCUCCUACUACGCCGU